CUUGGCACUUGUGGAAUUCUCUG
This 23-nucleotide microRNA is filed under the name Branchiostoma belcheri (Belcher's lancelet). RNAcentral's name for it is "bbe-miR-182b-5p". Its record names the gene bbe-miR-182b-5p. The record is from miRBase by way of RNAcentral. Lineage: Eukaryota; Metazoa; Chordata; Leptocardii; Amphioxiformes; Branchiostomatidae.